Molecule: long non-coding RNA, 571 nt
Filed under: Homo sapiens (human)
Lineage: Eukaryota; Metazoa; Chordata; Mammalia; Primates; Hominidae
Description: non-protein coding lnc-TUBA4A-2:2
Source: RNAcentral
GAUCUGCUCCAGCCCCAUCCUCUAACGGGGAGAGGGCCAGAGCUGGCCUCUUUUUUGAAGUCUGCGGUCUGGGGUGGAGAAGGCAGUAACAUAGCUCCUAUCUGGCAGUGUGGUGGGACCAGCCCUCACCUUCCGCAUCCGGCACAAUGAGCAGAACCUGUCUUUGGCUGAUGUGACCCAACAAGCAGGUAAAUAUCUCUGCGACCUCAAUCCCAGGCUUGGCCCCAGCCCCACUCCUAAGAGGAUAUAUCCAGGCCUGUUGCUGAUGCCCCCUUGAAAUGUUCCCAGCCCACAUGGGCCCUGCCUGCUGCUUGGCAGAGCAAGACAGAGGAUGGAGACCACAUGGGGCUGGAGCAAGCCUGACCUUUGUCCUCCCUGCAGGGCUGGUGAAGUCUGAACUGGAAGCACAGACAGGGCUCCAAAUCUUGCAGACAGGAGUGGGACAGAGGGAGGAGGCAGCUGCAGUCCUUCCCCAAACUGCGCACAGCACCUCACCCAUGCGCUCAGUGCUGCUCACUCUGGUGGCCCUGGCAGGUGUGGCUGGGCUGCUGGUGGCUCUGGCUGUGGCUCU